RNAcentral lists this ribosomal RNA (496 nucleotides) under uncultured bacterium. RNAcentral describes it as "partial 16S ribosomal RNA". It matches the Rfam family "Bacterial small subunit ribosomal RNA", at positions 28 to 506 of the family's 1533-position model. The record is from RNAcentral.
GAUGAACGCUGGCGGCGUGCCUAAUACAUGCAAGUCGAGCGAACAGACGAGGAGCUUGCUCCUCUGACGUUAGCGGCGGACGGGUGAGUAACACGUGGAUAACCUACCUAUAAGACUGGGAUAACUUCGGGAAACCGGAGCUAAUACCGGAUAAUAUAUUGAACCGCAUGGUUCAAUAGUGAAAGACGGUUUUGCUGUCACUUAUAGAUGGAUCCGCGCCGCAUUAGCUAGUUGGUAAGGUAACGGCUUACCAAGGCAACGAUGCGUAGCCGACCUGAGAGGGUGAUCGGCCACACUGGAACUGAGACACGGUCCAGACUCCUACGGGAGGCAGCAGUAGGGAAUCUUCCGCAAUGGGCGAAAGCCUGACGGAGCAACGCCGCGUGAGUGAGGAAGGUCUGCGGAUCGUAAAACUCUGUUAUUAGGGAAGAACAAAUGUGUAAGUAACUAUGCACGUCUUGACGGUACCUAAUCAGAAAGCCACGGCUAACUACGU